This 427-nucleotide ribosomal RNA is filed under the name uncultured bacterium. RNAcentral describes it as "partial 16S ribosomal RNA". It matches the Rfam family "Bacterial small subunit ribosomal RNA", at positions 355 to 774 of the family's 1533-position model. The record is from RNAcentral.
UGGGGAAUAUUGGACAAUGGGCGAAAGCCUGAUCCAGCCAUGCCGCGUGUGUGAAGAAGGUCUUCGGAUUGUAAAGCACUUUAAGUUGGGAGGAAGGGCAUUAACCUAAUACGUUAGUGUUUUGACGUUACCGACAGAAUAAGCACCGGCUAACUCUGUGCCAGCAGCCGCGGUAAUACAGAGGGUGCAAGCGUUAAUCGGCAUUACUGGGCGUAAAGCGCGCGUAGGUGGUUUGUUAAGUUGGAUGUGAAAUCCCCGGGCUCAACCUGGGAACUGCAUUCAAAACUGACUGACUAGAGUAUGGUAGAGGGUGGUGGAAUUUCCUGUGUAGCGGUGAAAUGCGUAGAUUUAGGAAGGAACACCAGUGGCGAAGGCGACCACCUGGACUAAUACUGACACUGAGGUGCGAAAGCGUGGGGAGCAAACA